CUGGAGUCUAAAGGAUUCGUCGAGCAUGGAUGUUAACAGAACUUUCACCUUGAUAGUGAAGUCAUACAAAGGAGAUAGGCAACAUGCCAAGAAAACGAUCCGGUAAUACCGGUCACAGUCAAUGCAAAGAUGAAGCAACAGCUAUGAGCGAAACGAUUAGACCCGGUAAAAGUAAUCAUGGUCAAUCUUCCCCAUCAGAUGAAGCUAUAAAAAAAUGCUAAGGACUGUCACCUUGAUAGUGAAGUCAUAGAUCAAGGAGAAAAACCACAUGCCAAGAACACGAUCCGGUAAUACCGGUCACAGACAAUGCAAAGAUGAAGCAACAGGGAUGAGCGAAAG
Molecule: long non-coding RNA, 339 nt
Organism: Haliotis rufescens (red abalone)
Lineage: Eukaryota; Metazoa; Mollusca; Gastropoda; Lepetellida; Haliotidae
Exons: 6
Source: RefSeq, a predicted model, not a curated record